Molecule: ribosomal RNA, 468 nt
Filed under: uncultured bacterium
Lineage: Bacteria
Description: partial 16S ribosomal RNA
Rfam family: Bacterial small subunit ribosomal RNA
Source: RNAcentral
GACGAACGCUGGCGGCGUGCUUAACACAUGCAAGUCGAACGGAAAGGCCCUGCUUUUGUGGGGUGCUCGAGUGGCGAACGGGUGAGUAACACGUGAGUAACCUGCCCUUGACUUUGGGAUAACUUCAGGAAACUGGGGCUAAUACCGGAUAGGAGCUCCUGCUGCAUGGUGGGGGUUGGAAAGUUUCGGCGGUUGGGGAUGGACUCGCGGCUUAUCAGCUUGUUGGUGGGGUAGUGGCUUACCAAGGCUUUGACGGGUAGCCGGGCUGGGAGGGUGACCGGCCCAACUGGGAUGGGAGUUAGGCACGGACCCCACUGGGGGGGGAGGGAGGGGGAAAUAAGAAAAGGGGAGGGACGCCGGAGGGAGCAAGCCGGGGGGCGGGAGGGCGGCUUUCGGGUGGAAACCCGUUUUCGCUUGGAAGGAAGGGUAGUGACAGGAAAGGGGUAAAAAGCCCCGGCUAAAUCCGUG